RNAcentral lists this ribosomal RNA (423 nucleotides) under uncultured bacterium. RNAcentral's name for it is "partial 16S ribosomal RNA". It matches the Rfam family "Bacterial small subunit ribosomal RNA", at positions 359 to 774 of the family's 1533-position model. The record is from RNAcentral.
GAAUUUUGGACAAUGGGCGAAAGCCUGAUCCAGCAAUGCCGCGUGCACGAUGAAGGCCUUCGGGUUGUAAACUGCUUUUGUACGGAACGAAAAGCUUUGGUGUAAUACCCUGGAAUCAUGCCGGUACCACAAGAAUAAGCACCGGCUAACUACGUGCCAGCAGCCGCGGUAAUACGUAGGGUGCAAGCGUUAAUCGGAAUUACUGGGCGUAAAGCGUGCGCAGGCGGUUUUGUAAGACAGAGGUGAAAUACACGGGCUCAACCUGGGAACUGCCUUUGUGACUGCAAGUCUAGAGUACGGCAGAGGGGGGUGGAAUUCCGCGUGUAGCAGUGAAAUGCGUAGGUAUGCGGAGGAACACCGAUGGCGAAGGCAACCCCCUGGGCCUGUACUGACGCUCAUGCACGAAAGCGUGGGGAGCAAACA